UGGACAAUUGCUAUUUACUUUGAUUUAAAUCACAAAUGUUUGAAGAGUUCUCUUGACAGACAUAACAUUCUCUGUGUUCAGAAAUCAGUGAAGCAGAAUCUGCUUAUGCUCAGCUUUGGAAAUAAAUAGGGUUGCUCACGUAUUAGAGGCUAAACGUGCUGGUGUAUUUGUGUGAUCCGAGAUAGAGAUAGGAAUAUUGCAGUGAAGUCCAUAGCUUGCCAUAGCAAGCUGUUUGAGUACAAAGUCUUUUUUGGGUGAGCGUGUCCCCUGGGUCGAUGCGUGUGCACCGGCCCACGUGGAGCAGGAGGCCGCAUCCUGGCACACCCAGCCCGCUCCCCUGUGCUUGUGGUUGCCCACCCAGCUGGCAUUCCUGGUGACCUGUGAACUGCUGAGCCUUUGAAUGCAUAAAUGCAUUUGGAAACCUGUUUUACCAAAAAUACUUGAACCUGAAAUGUCCAAUUCAUAUCCCAACAAACUGAUUUGUUGCCAACUGCUGCGUUCACCCUGGCUCAGAUGUCGUGCUUCUCCCGUGAGAAACCUGUGCAGGCUUCCAGAGUGUAGGAGAUUACUGCCGCUUAGGGAACAACAGCACAGAUGCAGUGGAGAUAAGUGGAUUUGUGACUUAAUGAUCCCCUUUCUCCCUUACUCUUCUCCUUUAAGCAAAUGAAAUCUGUAUAAGCAAUGAAUCUAUAUAAAAUUAGAGUGGGAGGAGGAAGGGUUGAAGUAAUAGUCGGAAAACCAUUCUAGGCUGAGUGAAAGCCUCCCAGUGAUGGCACAAAAUAUGUAAAUUCCCUGAAUUUUUACAUCCUUUCCAAGAGAAAUUAUUUAUUUAUUUUUAAUCCUGAAAAUGCCCUUUCUCGGUUGUUUUGGUUAGAUUUACAGUGAAUAUUUGUGUAAUUCAUAUUCUGUUGACCAAAGGAAUGGUUGCUACUGACUGCAGUUAGGGGAGAUUAAAACUUUUGGUUCCUUUUAAAGGAAAACAAGGCUGACCAGUUGUGUAGAAGGGACACUUUCCUCAGCCGGCAGGAAUCAAUCAGAGGUGGAUAUCGGGGAGCCUGAAUCUGGGGAGCAGAGCAGCCACCAAAGCCUUGACAUCUCAGCAUUAGCUCAUGUUUGGUAGUCUCCUGCAUUUACUGCUGCACUAUUGGCUUUGCUUUUUAGGACCACAACUGCCCGUUCCGGGGUCUGUGACACCAGCAUGUCAAAAGAGGUUGGACUGUUCACAGGCUUAACAUUAGGCAUGCGUUUAAACAACUCGCUGAUUCAAGCUUCUGAUCCCAGUUUUCUUCCUGAGAAAAAAUAUUGCUUUCUUCUGUAGGAUGCAGCCAGAGAUGCAUUUAAUCUCACAUUGAUUGAUGUGUGCUAUCCCCAACAUGUAAAGGAAAUGCUUAUAUACUCAUAACUACCUUUAUUUUAGGGAUGUGACUGCACUAAUUCCCCAGGAUAUUUAUUUAUAAAAAAAUUACUUUGAGAGCCUUCUAGUGCAUUGACCUUGUUUCAGGGUUUAGCUGGGAGGAGGGAAGGCUGCUUUUUUUUUUUUUUUUUCUUAAGCACUGCAGGGGAUUUCUGUCAGGUUGCUUUAACACUUCCUCUCAGAUUCUAGCCAGGCUUUCAGGCUAAAGAAUUUUCAAACACAGCUAGCCAUCGUCACAUAGGUCUUGCAUUUG
RNAcentral lists this long non-coding RNA (1667 nucleotides) under Anas platyrhynchos platyrhynchos (common mallard). RNAcentral describes it as "lncRNA (ENSAPLG00000017848.1)". The record is from RNAcentral. Lineage: Eukaryota; Metazoa; Chordata; Aves; Anseriformes; Anatidae.